This 945-nucleotide ribosomal RNA is filed under the name Mesobacillus jeotgali. RNAcentral's name for it is "bacterial SSU rRNA". It matches the Rfam family "Bacterial small subunit ribosomal RNA", at positions 26 to 957 of the family's 1533-position model. Lineage: Bacteria; Bacillati; Bacillota; Bacilli; Caryophanales; Bacillaceae. The record is from RNAcentral.
AGGGUAAUUUUGAGGUCGGGCGGUCUAUCAUGCAGUCGAGCGGAUCUUCAUUAGCUUGCUUUUGAAGAUCACCGGCGGACGGGUGAGUAACACGUGGGCAACCUGCCUGUAAGACUGGGAUAACUUCGGGAAACCGGAGCUAAUACCGGAUAAUCCUUUCCCUCACAUGAGGGAAAGCUGAAAGACGGUUUCGGCUGUCACUUACAGAUGGGCCCGCGGCGCAUUAGCUAGUUGGUGAGGUAACGGCUCACCAAGGCAACGAUGCGUAGCCGACCUGAGAGGGUGAUCGGCCACACUGGGACUGAAACACGGCCCAAACUCCUACGGGAGGCAGCAGUAGGGAAUCUUCCGCAAUGGACAAAAGUCUGACGGAGCAACGCCGCGUGAGCGAUGAAGGCCUUCGGGUCGUAAAGCUCUGUUGUCAGGGAAAAACAAGUACCGGAGUAACUGCCGGUACCUUGACGGUACCUGACCAAAAAGCCACGGCUAACUACGUGCCAGCAGCCGCGGUAAUACGUAGGUGGCAAGCGUUGUCCGGAAUUAUUGGGCGUAAAGCGCGCGCAGGCGGUUCCUUAAGUCUGAUGUGAAAGCCCCCGGCUCAACCGGGGAGGGUCAUUGGAAACUGGGGAACUUGAGUGCAGAAGAGGAGAGCGGAAUUCCACGUGUAGCGGUGAAAUGCGUAAAGAUGUGGAGGAACACCAGUGGCGAAGGCGGCUCUCUGGUCUGUAACUGACGCUGAGGCGCGAAAGCGUGGGGAGCGAACAGGAUUAGAUACCCUGGUAGUCCACGCCCGUAACGAUGAGUGCUAAGUGUUAGAGGGGUUUCCCGCCCUUUAGUGCUGCAGCAACGCAUUAAGCACUCCCGCCUGGGGAGUACCGGCCGCAGGCUGAACUCAAGAAUUGACCGGGUCCGCACAGCGGUGGAGCAUGUGGUUAAUUCCGGAAC